GCGCCCAUCCCCCCACAUCUCACGGUCUGACUGGAGUCGAGUUUCACAGAGCAACGCAACAGGAGGAUGACACAACAGUUAUAAGAGCAUUAACAGGUAAACACUGGAAAAUCCUUCCUUCAUCACCUUUAAAGCAUUUUUAAACUUUAAAAAUGUGUUGUUUGUCGUGACUCUUCAUUUUAAUACUGAUUCGGUUACGGUAAUUUGUGUAAAGUUGUAUACGACGUGACAACGCGACAUUGACACAGCACUAUUGCCUCAUUUUAAUAGACUCAUUUUAAUGAGCUGGUUAAUGUUCAUUAAGUACACCACAGUUCUGUAAGUGGAGAAAUAAUUCAUAUUUGUGUGUUUCUCUCUCAGUAAGGACUAACGUUAACUGACUGUCUGUCUGUCUGCUCUCAACCAAACAGUCAUUCAAGACCUUUCAAAGUUUAGCACAAAAGUUUCCAGCACAAGUUUGGAUCUUUACCAUUGAGGGUGGCUGACUGUUCUCGACCAACCAUCAUUCACACGCAAAAACUUUAAAGAUAAGUAUGAACGUGCCCAGAGCAGUUUUCGAUCUUUACCAUUAAGGAGGCUGACUGACUAUCCUCUACCACCCGUCAUUAACACAACAAAAACUAAAGAAAUGUUACUCCAUAUGGACCUAUUCAUUUACUCAUUAUGCUGUGAGUACACCACAGUUUUAUCAGUGAAAAAAUUUAUAUUUGUGUGUUUUCUCACUGCUUGGCAAGGACAGAUGUGGCCCUGUUAAAAAUGUUUAAAUGUUGUUUGGUUAAGGAACAGCACACUGAUUUUGUUUUAAAAUAUUCCUGUUUGGACAGUCUGUUAAAGUCAAAGGAAUACUUGAUAUAUUUCUAAGUAAAGUGUAAAUGAAAAAAUUAGUUUUUAAUGUUGUGACUGAACACAAUGUUGUGAAUGAUUUGGACUGAACAGCACACUUCUGUUUUAUAUCUGAACCUUUUGUAAAAUAAAUGAUUGUUCAUUAAACUCACUGUGUAUUUUAUCUUUUCUGUUAUCAUUUUUUUAUACUAAUGUUUAAAAUUUACCUUUACUCUAAACAAUUGGCUAAACCAACACAAAUACACU
Paramisgurnus dabryanus is the source of this 1089-nucleotide long non-coding RNA. RefSeq lists it as uncharacterized. The record is from RefSeq and is a predicted model, not a curated record. Lineage: Eukaryota; Metazoa; Chordata; Actinopteri; Cypriniformes; Cobitidae.